CUGCCGAGCCGAGAAGUUCGUGACGAAUCGAAUUUACUGUAAGUUCGCUCAUCUCUAAUCAUAACAACAAUCCUCUUCUAGCAUCGUUUUAUAUUAGACACUGAGAAAGCACCCUGGCUGGGAAACACUGGUUUAUAGGAACUAGCUGGGAAUUUACAGACUAUUGUACUCGCUGGAAGCGGUUUCAUAUAUAUGGUUAAAUAAACAAAAACUUGUCUCUGAAUGUAUAUUAUUAUUAUUAUCGUCCGUAAACAUUUCAGGAAUUAUUUGUACGUGCUUUUUUUUUGUGAACAUGUAGUUUUAUAUCUUCUCCCUGUAUCCAUCCAAUGUGCUGCAUAUCCAUUUAUAGAAAAUAAAAGAACAAAAUGUG
Molecule: long non-coding RNA, 370 nt
Organism: Hyla sarda
Lineage: Eukaryota; Metazoa; Chordata; Amphibia; Anura; Hylidae
Exons: 2
Source: RefSeq, a predicted model, not a curated record